AUAUUUCGGCAGUGGAUCUAAGUGAACCAUAACCUCCGUCACCAGAUGUCCCACUGAUUGCGCAAAAAACGUGUAAGGAGUCGUGCAUCCAGGGAGAAUGCAUAGUAUCUUCUUGGUACAUCUAAACAAAAACAAGAUUACUGUAAAUGGAAGGAGUGCAUCAGGUUGAUUUGCCAUCAUUGGGGAAAAAAAGAAGCAGGUAUCAAUGGGGAGACAAAGAGUACCAACUAGGAGCCGAAUCUUUGGAGGAUAAGACCACUGAGGAUCUGGUUACACCUAACGCUUGUGGCACCUUACAUGCUCUAAGAAAUGAACACAAACUGAAUAUGGCAAGGUUGGAGAGAAAGUACAUCAAGCAACAGGAAAAUUGAUGGGACAAGUGCCAGCUGUGGGCAAGACUUGCCUUAUACUAAGUCCCAAGGUAUGUGUUUAGAGAAGAACACCUGUUUCUUCUGUUGUUAGCCCAAAGGCAUUCAUUAUUGUGAGACAUGGCAUUACGAAGCUACUGUCAUGCAUGGUUCAGUGAAGUUUCUUCGUAGCUCUCACGAAGAGGCUGAUGUUAAAAUUAUCUUGCAUGCCAUCAAUGUCACAAAGAAAGGUGCAACUGAACUCCAAAUGUUUGCACAAGACUCAGAUGUUCUAGUGCUCUCUGUGCAAUUGUGACGGAAUGCACGCCAUACUCACACCCUACACACUAUUGUAAUAAUCUUUGAACAAAGUAUGCCUUGAGAGGUAUCAUUUGAAAACUCAUAACUUGCUGAUCAGUAAUAUCAUGGUAAAAUGCAUGUAGCACCAUUAGGUGUAAAGUUAUGAACAUAAGCUGACAUCAUGACCAAAGUGUGUUUCCCAGAUAAGUCUAAGGAGGGGCUAACCCUGUUUCUCUAAAACAAAGGGCAAGCCGAUGCCCCGCCAGAUGUAAUAAAGCUGAUGGGACAUCACAUAUCAAGUGGCCAUUCUUUGGCAAGAAAAGGGGACAUGGACAAAGAGAUUUAGCAAAAAACAGCUGGAGGUCUCCUUCCUCCAUCAGACCUCCAUCUCCUGGUUCUCAGCUGGAAAUGUUUUUCAAGGGUAGGACUGAAAUUAUAAAAAGGAGGAGCAAACACCCCAAGAGACCUCGUCCUCUCUCUCCCCCUGUCCAUUUCGCUCUUUGCACCUGAGAAGACAAAAGAAGCAGCCCAGUUGGCCUCUGGGGAAGGGGCCCUGACUGGAAGAGUUUGGUCAGUAACACUCUUGGAAGCAUGUGAUGAGAAAUUUUGCUUUGAAUCUAAUAUAGUUUGUUAAGCUAGGCACUAGAAAGUGUUAUCUUUAUUUUUCUAGUAAUCAUUUUGACUUUUAUGCCACAUUCCUUGUACUCACUUAAAAUCUCUCUCUUUAUAGUUAAUAAACUUGUUUUACCUAAUCCACUGUGUUUAUCUUACAGUGUCUGGGUAACUGUUUAAGAUAAUAAGCUACUGUAUAUUAU
Long non-coding RNA from Chrysemys picta bellii (western painted turtle), 1462 nucleotides. RefSeq lists it as uncharacterized. The record is from RefSeq and is a predicted model, not a curated record. Lineage: Eukaryota; Metazoa; Chordata; Testudines; Emydidae.